RNAcentral lists this ribosomal RNA (429 nucleotides) under Bacteroidota bacterium. RNAcentral's name for it is "Bacteroidetes bacterium partial 16S ribosomal RNA". It matches the Rfam family "Bacterial small subunit ribosomal RNA", at positions 355 to 776 of the family's 1533-position model. The record is from RNAcentral. Lineage: Bacteria; Pseudomonadati; Bacteroidota.
UAGGGAAUCUUCCGCAAUGGACGCAAGUCUGACGGAGCAACGCCGCGUGAGUGAAGAAGGAUUUCGGUUCGUAAAACUCUGUUGUUAGAGAAGAACAGCGCAUAGAGUAACUGUUAUGCGUGUGACGGUAUCUAACCAGAAAGCCACGGCUAACUACGUGCCAGCAGCCGCGGUAAUACGUAGGUGGCAAGCGUUGUCCGGAUUUAUUGGGCGUAAAGCGAGCGCAGGCGGUCAAUUAAGUCUGAUGUGAAAGCCCCCGGCUCAACCGGGGAGGGUCAUUGGAAACGGGUUGACUUGAGUGCAGAAGAGGAGAGUGGAAUUCCAUGUGUAGCGGUGAAAUGCGUAGAUAUAUGGAGGAACACCAGUGGCGAAGGCGACUCUCUGGUCUGUAACUGACGCUGAGGCUCGAAAGCGUGGGUAGCAAACAGG